UGUCGAGGCAGGGAGGGCCUCCUAUUGGUUCAGAGGUUAGACAGUGUCGAGGCAGGGAGGACCUCCUAUUGGUUCAGAGGUUAGACAGUGUCGAGGCAGGGAGGGCCUCCUAUUGGUUCAGAGGUUAGACAGUGUCGAGGCAGGGAGGGCCUCCUAUUGGUUCAGAGGUUAGACAGUGUCGAGGCAGGGAGGGCCUCCUAUUGGUUCAGAGGUUAGACAGUGUCGAGGCAGGGAGGGCCUCCUAUUGGUUCAGAGGUUAGACAGUGUCGAGGCAGGGAGGGCCUCCUAUUGGCUCAGAAGUCAAACAGUGUCGAGGCAGUGAGGGCCUCCUAUUGGCUCAGAAGUCAAACAGUGUCGAGGCAGGGAGGGCCUCCUAUUGGUUCAGAGGUUAAACAGUGUCGAGGCAGGGAGGGCCUCCUAUUGGUUCAGAGGUUAGACAGUGUCGAGGCAGGGAGGGCCUCCUAUUGGUUCAGAGGUUAAACAGUGUCGAGGCAGGGAGGGCCUCCUAUUGGUUCAGAGGUUAGACAGUGUCGAGGCAGGGAGGGCCUCCUAUUGGUUCAGAGGUUAAACAGUGUCGAGGCAGGGAGGGCCUCCUAUUGGUUCAGAGGUUAGACAGUGUCGAGGCAGGGAGGGCCUCCUAUUGGUUCAG
Molecule: long non-coding RNA, 649 nt
Organism: Oncorhynchus keta (chum salmon)
Lineage: Eukaryota; Metazoa; Chordata; Actinopteri; Salmoniformes; Salmonidae
Exons: 4
Source: RefSeq, a predicted model, not a curated record